AGGUGACAGUCCAUUUCCAACUGCAGCUGCACUACCGUUGCGACAUUACUGGUGCGACAUUACUGCAGCGGCCGACUGCUGCUGCUUGCGGCGUGCAGUCGCGGCAGCGUUCGUCAGUUGACUGUCAAUGUCAAUGAGUUAUGAAUAAUGUCACUGUCAGACGUAUAAAUAAAAUUACUGAUUUACUUAUUUGUAUAUUUUACGAGAAGAAGUAAGUGACGAUAAUGCUACAUUGUAUACGAAAAUGAAGAACAGAUUUGCCUUUCUACAAGAAUCACAGUCAGUCCAAGGCAGUUACGCAAUAUUAUUAAAAACCAGAUAUUGAAUUGUGAUCGUUUGUAUGCCGAUUAAAUAAAUAGCAAUUUAACUUCAAAUCGAAGAAAUACAACCAAAUUACUCGAAUGAAAUUAAUGCAGAGGAGCAAAUAUUUCUUAACUUAAGGUGUCCAUAGGCGACGGCACUCGUGGUCGGGGCAGAUACAGUGUAUGACUAGACCUUAUAAAACUUGACGGGCGAGACAAGAAAUCCUUUAUGAAGAAAGCUAUUUACGUCAGCCAAGAAGGGGCUGAUAGAAAGAAUUUUGAAUAAAUUAAUCGGAAUAAUACAUAUUUUCCUCGUGUUGAAGUGAUGAAAAAAUUUCGUGUUGCACUCUGUAGCAAAGUUUAUUUAACUCUCAUUCCUUGAAUCCCCGCAACUGUCAAUAAAAUUUUACUUUUAAAACCGU
This is a long non-coding RNA of Cydia pomonella (codling moth), 724 nucleotides long. RefSeq lists it as uncharacterized. NCBI's taxonomy places the organism in Eukaryota, Metazoa, Arthropoda, Insecta, Lepidoptera, Tortricidae. The record is from RefSeq and is a predicted model, not a curated record. The transcript is spliced from 2 exons.